AGCUAAGAAUAUUCCGCAAUGGACGAAAGUCUGACGGAGCGACGCCGCGUGGAUGAUGAAGGCCGAAAGGUUGUAAAGUCCUUUUGCUGGGGAAGAAUAAGUGUGGGAGGGAAUGCCCGCAUGAUGACAUGAACCGGCGAAUAAGCCCCGGCCAACUACGUGCCAGCAGCCGCGGUAACACGUAGGGGGCGAGCGUUGUUCGGAAUUACUGGGCGUAAAGGGCAUGUAGGCGGUCUGGUAAGCCUGGCGUGAAAGGCCACAGCUCAACUGUGGGAUUGCGUUGGGAACUGCUGGGCUUGAGUUAUGGAGAGGGAGCUAGAAUUCCUGGUGUAGGGGUGAAAUCUGUAGAUAUCAGGAAGAAUACCGAUGGCGAAGGCAAGCUCCUGGCCGAUGACUGACGCUGAGGUGCGAAAGUGUGGGGAUCAAACAGGAUUAGAUACCCUGGUAGUCCACACUGUAAACGAUGUGCACUAGGUGCUGGGGCGGUAGCUUCAGUGCCGGAGCGAACGUGGUAAGUGCACCGCCUGGGGAGUAUGCUCGCAAGGGUG
Molecule: ribosomal RNA, 548 nt
Filed under: uncultured bacterium
Lineage: Bacteria
Description: bacterial SSU rRNA
Rfam family: Bacterial small subunit ribosomal RNA
Source: RNAcentral